UUCUUCGGGGCAGGGUGAGUGACAGGAAAUCACAAUUCCCUACCGGCGGUACAGUCCGCGACCCGCAUAGGCGGCUGAUUUGGUGAAAUUCCAAAACCGACAGUAUAGUCUGGAUGAGAGAAGA
RNAcentral lists this non-coding RNA (124 nucleotides) under uncultured Blautia sp. RNAcentral describes it as "FMN riboswitch (RFN element)". It matches the Rfam family "FMN riboswitch aptamer (RFN element)". From Rfam's summary of the family: The RFN element is a highly conserved domain that is found frequently in the 5'-untranslated regions of prokaryotic mRNAs that encode for flavin mononucleotide (FMN) biosynthesis and transport proteins. This element is a metabolite-dependent riboswitch that directly binds FMN in the absence of proteins. In Bacillus subtilis, the riboswitch most likely controls gene expression by causing premature transcription termination within the 5' untranslated region of the ribDEAHT operon and precluding access to the ribosome-binding site of ypaA mRNA. Lineage: Bacteria; Bacillati; Bacillota; Clostridia; Lachnospirales; Lachnospiraceae. The record is from RNAcentral.